This 505-nucleotide ribosomal RNA is filed under the name uncultured bacterium. RNAcentral's name for it is "partial 16S ribosomal RNA". It matches the Rfam family "Bacterial small subunit ribosomal RNA", at positions 28 to 507 of the family's 1533-position model. The record is from RNAcentral.
GACGAACGCUGGCGGCGUGCCUAAUACAUGCAAGUAGAACGCACAUUUUAUACCGUAGCUUGCUACACCAUAGACUGUGAGUUGCGAACGGGUGAGUAACGCGUAGGUAACCUGCCUGGUAGCGGGGGAUAACUAUUGGAAACGAUAGCUAAUACCGCAUAAUAUUAAUUAUUGCAUGAUAAUUAAUUGAAAGGUGCAAUUGCACCACUACCAGAUGGACCUGCGUUGUAUUAGCUAGUAGGUGAGGUAACGGCUCACCUAGGCGACGAUACAUAGCCGACCUGAGAGGGUGAUCGGCCACACUGGGACUGAGACACGGCCCAGACUCCUACGGGAGGCAGCAGUAGGGAAUCUUCGGCAAUGGACGAAAGUCUGACCGAGCAACGCCGCGUGAGUGAAGAAGGGUUUCGGAUCGUAAAGCUCUGUUGUAAGAGAAGAACGGGUGUGAGAGUGGAAAGUUCACACUGUGACGGUAUCUUACCAGAAAGGGACGGCUAACUACGUG